This 448-nucleotide ribosomal RNA is filed under the name uncultured bacterium. RNAcentral's name for it is "bacterial SSU rRNA". It matches the Rfam family "Bacterial small subunit ribosomal RNA", at positions 330 to 794 of the family's 1533-position model. The record is from RNAcentral.
UCCAGACUCCUACGGGAGGCAGCAGUGGGGGAUAUUGCACAAUGGGGGAAACCCUGAUGCAGCGACGCCGCGUGAGUGAAGAAGUAUUUCGGUAUGUAAAGCUCUAUCAGCAGGGAAGAAGAUGACAGUACCUGAGUAAGAAGCCCCGGCUAACUACGUGCCAGCAGCCGCGGUAAUACGUAGGGGGCAAGCGUUAUCCGGAUUUACUGGGUGUAAAGGGAGCGCAGACGGCAGUGCAAGUCUGGAGUGAAAGCCCGGGGCCCAACCCCGGGACUGCUCUGGAAACUGUACGGCUAGAGUACGGGAGGGGCAGGCGGAAUUCCUAGUGUAGCGGUGAAAUGCGUAGAUAUUAGGAGGAACACCGGCGGCGAAGGCGGCCUGCUGGACCGAAACUGGCGUUGAGGCUCGAAAGCGUGGGGAGCAAACAGGAUUAGAUACCCUAGUAAAU